CUUAGAUAACAGUAUCUAAUGCGCGUUUCCUGAGUUGUUUUACAGAUGCUAAAAUCCCCACCAAAUGGAAGAAAUUAGCUACUGGAUGACCACGAGCAGGUGGCCUCAAGGCUAGUGGAUUGAUAACAUUUGACCCCAGUGACAUCACUCUGUGUCCUCACCAUCAACCAAUCAGAGAAUUUAGCAUGAGCUCAUCACAUGCCCUGGGAAUCCCCUCCCUCACCUUGUACUUAAAAUGGCUUUGCUGAAGCCCAUUGACCAGUUCUGGCUUUUUGAGACAAACACUGCACUUUCCUUCAGCACAUCCCAGCAUCAGUAGGUUGGCUUUACUGCACGUGGCAAAUGGACACAAAUUUUGGUUUGGUACAGGGGGAAGGACUCAGUGAAUCAGUUGGGGAUGUGCAGAGAGCAUCCUGGAAGAAAAUGAUGCACUGGUCACAGACAUAGAUCUAUGGCCUCAUGGGGUACAGUCACUUUCUCUUCCAAACUCCCUGGAGCCUGGUUCUAGAAGGAGGAUCAGAAGAUGAUUAAAAGCUGGUGUCACUUGCUAAGGAGCUGUUACCAUACCAGGUUGUUUGCUUGAUGUAUGGGAAGCCAAAACCCUGAGAUGCUGAGUUUGCAGCAAAGAAAAGAUUUAUUUGCAAGAGAGCCAAGCGAGGAGACAAGAUGGGAAAACCAGUCGGGAACCAAGAUGACUCUGGAGGAGGAGCAAACUGCGGAGAGAAGAGUGGAGAGAUUUCUCAUUGGCUCAUCCAUGCCUUGGAUGAAGACACAAAAGGCAAGAAUAAUUUUUUAAUUUGAAUGCUCCUAAAAAGAGAGUGCAUUAUAAUACAACCCUAGCUAUGUUGAGAUCAAAAUCAACUUGCCCAGUAUAAAAGGCAAAAGGUAAAUAGAAAUGAAGACAUUGGGGCUGAGAAAUGCUGAGCAAUCAAAUAUAAGACUUAAUUUUGAGCUUCCUAGCAGCUAAGGCAAAAAGGGAAACAUGAAUUAUGUUGCUGUCGUGGACAAGUAGGAGACAUAUAUGUGUUCUUUAAGAGAGAAAUGUACAU
This 1049-nucleotide long non-coding RNA is filed under the name Sus scrofa (pig). RNAcentral describes it as "lncRNA (ENSSSCG00015022924.1)". The record is from RNAcentral. Lineage: Eukaryota; Metazoa; Chordata; Mammalia; Artiodactyla; Suidae.